UGCAACAUAAUUUUUGCAUGUAAGGGCGGAAUUCAAAAGUGCAUUAUGUGCAGACAGAGAAAUGCAAAGUUUUUGACUACCUUACACAACACUAAGUACCGAUAAGUAUACUGUUAAAGUACCGGACCGUUAAGCAGUAUCGGUAAGAGUAGUAAUACCGUUAAAACCUUAAUGAUACCCAUCCCUAAGUGCGAGUACAGGAAGAAGUAGAGAGAGCAAAAUACCAGAUGAUGUGAUAGUAAAUAAGAAAAGAUUUGUACUGUUUAUGGUAAAAGUAAUAAACUGUACAGCACAAACCGAAAGGAGAACAGAAAAGAUACAGAUAAUUGUCAAAGCAGCAGAAAGAUUCCUAAAUAUUAAAGGACUGAAAUUUGAGGAGGUAAUGAGAAGUCUAAUCAAUACAGAAUCUCAGUUUAGUCAGGAGAUAUGGGUUGGUUAAUAAUUAUGUAUAAUUAAGUAUCCUUCAGUGGAAUGCCAGAAGCCUUUGUGCAAAUGGACAAGAAUUUAAAGGAUAUAUAAAUGAAAUGAGUGAAAAUAUGUGUUCAAGAAACUUGCUUGAAGCCCAGAUUAGAUUUUGUGUUAAAAGGAUAUAUAAGUGUGAGAAGGGAUAGGGAAGAAAGGAAUGGUGGAGGAUGUAUGAAUUUUAAUAGGGGAGGAGUGGUGUAUAGAGUUCUGGAGAAGGGAACAGUAAUGGAGUACAUAAGUAUUGAGAUAUGGAUUGGAAAAAAUAUGUAUGUAAUAAAACAAUUCUACAAUCCAUGUAAAAGACUAAAAUUAGAACGUAUGGAAGGUAUUAAAGGGAUAAAUGAAGAUAGAGUAGUAUGGUGUGGAGAUUUUAACACCCAUACUACAUUGUGGGGAGGUCUAAAAACUGAUAAUAAUGGGAGGGUCAUUGAAGAGGUAAUGGAGAGGAAAAAUUUAGUCUGCAUUAAUGAUGGUAGUUAUACCUGUAUGGAGUUAAAUUCAGGUAAUAGAUCAGCAAUAGAUAUAACAAUAGUGUCAAAUUCGAUAGGAGCAAUAACAAACUGGCAAGUAUUGAAGAACUGUUCAGUGGGAAGCGAACAUUUCCCAAUAAUAAGUGCUUUUGGAAAUUGUGAGAGAGGGAAAGGAAAACAAGGAAAUAUAGUUAAAUGGAAAUAUGAGAAAGCAGAUUGGGAAAACUUUGAAUUAAUUAGUGAGGUAAGAUUAAAAAUGAUCAAGUUUAAUGAGGAAAUAGUAAUUGAAAAUAAGUAUGCAGAACUAGUAGAAGGGAUACAGAGUGAAGCAAAUGAAAACAUCCCGAUAAGGAAGGGGAUCGGAUGUGACAAAUAGUCCCAUGGUGGAUUGAGAAAUGUUUAAUAGCAAUUAGAAAGAAAAGGAAAGCACUCAAGGUACUGAAGACAACACAUAAUUGGGAAAAUGUAAUAUGGUAUAAAAAAAAAAGCCAGGCAGAAACUAGGAGGGUAAUAAGUUACUUACAUUAAUUAAUACAGAUUUUAUUAAUGAUGCAAGAGACAAAUAAGAGGGUUCAAUUUUUGUGGGUUCCAGCACACAUUGGAGUGUUAGGGAAUGAAGAAGCUGACAAAUUAGCGAAGCAAGCCAUGGCAAAAGAAAAUAAAGAUAUGGACAUUAAGCAUAGUAAAGAAGAAGUCAAAUCAAUUAUUAAAAGGGAGAUAUAUAAAAAAAUUGCUAAAGUAUUGGGACAAUGAAAGUAAAGGAAGACUACUUCAUUCAGUUCAACCACUGGUAGGAAGGGGAACGAGUUUGAGUAGGAAAAGGAAAGAGGAUUGCAUUCAAUCAAGACUGAGAUUGGGGCAUACAGGUCUUAACUCAACAAUGCAUUUAAUAGGAAAACAUCCUAAUGGUAUGUGUGACAGGUGUGGAGUAAGACAAACAGUGGAACAUGUAAUUAUAGACUGCAGUAAAAAUGGAGAAGAAAGAAAGACAUUAAUGGGAGAAAUGCAGAAGGAAGGUGAUCAACGGGUAGCAUUAGAGGAUAUUCUGAAUCCGGUAGGCAACCAAGUUAAAACAUAGAAUAUAGGAAGGUUUUUUUUUUUUUUUUAUAAUUAGUGUGGGCGGAAGGGAAUUGGGCUUUUAAUGGAGGAGCUGAAACACACAGCAACAUGAACGAUUCCCAUCUAGCCACUAUAGUGAGGAUUUAAGUCUCUGAUCCAUUGCCUACAGUAGAUGGCGGUAACACUCUGAAAAAGAAUGUGAACCACCAAUAAGCACGAAGAAGAAGACACGAAGACACAAAAUUUCCAACUGGCAUGCACUGCUUCAAGUCAGACGGCGAUCAGUUUGCGCAGUUCUGCAUGAAGUCGAACGCACCUAAUGUUUUUUUAUAAAUGGUUCUUUGAAUCAUUAGGCUCGUUCGACUUGAAGCGGGUCAUCAUCAUCAGACAGGAUUGGUGUGUGACA
This is a long non-coding RNA of Carassius auratus (goldfish), 2400 nucleotides long. RefSeq lists it as uncharacterized. Lineage: Eukaryota; Metazoa; Chordata; Actinopteri; Cypriniformes; Cyprinidae. The transcript has 2 exons. The record is from RefSeq and is a predicted model, not a curated record.